ACUCCAUCCCAAGCGGUUCUCAGUUUGCAUAACUGAUGAAUCCUCCUCUGAUGGAAAGAGUCUCG
RNAcentral lists this small nucleolar RNA (65 nucleotides) under Euglena gracilis. Its description in RNAcentral is "Eg-p37 AGAUGN box pseudouridylation-guide". The record is from RNAcentral. Lineage: Eukaryota; Euglenozoa; Euglenophyceae; Euglenales; Euglenaceae.